GGGGCUAAUGACUGAAGCUGGUAAUGAAGGCCGAUACCCGGAUCAAAAGUCGAGGAUCAGAGACCGGGGUAGGGUCGGACGUGCACGAAGAGUAUAGGCAUCCGUGAGCUGAAGUAGGACGUAGAAGUGUAUCCUCUCUCUGCUACCUUUUCUCUUUCCUUUUCUUCCCUUUCUUUUUUUGUCUUGUUAUGCUGCUCAUGGGGGAUAGGACAAGAGACAAAGAGGCAAUUAAUGCCUCUGUCAGGCACAUGUGCAGUG
Molecule: long non-coding RNA, 258 nt
Filed under: Elaeis guineensis (African oil palm)
Lineage: Eukaryota; Viridiplantae; Streptophyta; Magnoliopsida; Arecales; Arecaceae
Description: long non-coding RNA (EGUI_LNC005341)
Source: RNAcentral